GACGAACGCUGGCGGCGCGCUUAACACAUGCAAGUCGAACGGAAAGGCCUGCUUUCCCUUGUGGAUUGCGGGUACUCGAGUGGCGAACGGGUGAGUAACACGUGAGUGAUCUUCCCCCAACUUGGGUAUAAGCCUGGGAAACUGGGUCUAAUUCCCGAUAGGACUGCAGGGUGGUGCCUGUGGUGGAAAACGAUUUUCUAGUGGUUGGGGAUGAGCUCGCGGCCUAUCAGCUUGUUGGUGGGGUAAUGGCCUACCAAGGCGGCGACGGGUAGCCGGCCUGAGAGGGUGGACGGGCACAUUGGGACUGAGAUACGGCCCAGACUCAUACGGGAGGCAGCAGUGGGGAAUAAUGCACAAUGGGCGGAAGCAUGAUGCAGCGACGCCGCGUGGGGGAUGACGGCCUUCGGGUUGUAAACUCCUUUCGACCGCGAGGAAGCCACCUGGUUGGAAGGGUGGUGACGGUAGUGGUAGAAGAAGCACCGGCUAACUACGUG
RNAcentral lists this ribosomal RNA (494 nucleotides) under uncultured bacterium. RNAcentral's name for it is "partial 16S ribosomal RNA". It matches the Rfam family "Bacterial small subunit ribosomal RNA", at positions 28 to 507 of the family's 1533-position model. The record is from RNAcentral.